UUUGAGAGUCCUAGCUAG
RNAcentral lists this microRNA (18 nucleotides) under Bombyx mori (domestic silkworm). Its description in RNAcentral is "bmo-miR-2744". Lineage: Eukaryota; Metazoa; Arthropoda; Insecta; Lepidoptera; Bombycidae. The record is from miRBase by way of RNAcentral.